This 369-nucleotide ribosomal RNA is filed under the name uncultured phototrophic eukaryote. Its description in RNAcentral is "SSU rRNA". It matches the Rfam family "Bacterial small subunit ribosomal RNA", at positions 524 to 896 of the family's 1533-position model. The record is from RNAcentral.
UACGGGGGAUGCAAGCGUUAUCCGGAAUCAUUGGGCGUAAAGCGCCUGUAGGUUGUUUACUAAGUCUGUUGUUAAAGACUAGGGCUUAACCCUAGAAAAGCAAUGGAAACUUGUAGACUAGAGUAUGGCAGGGGUAGAGGGAAUUUCUAGUGUAGCGGUGAAAUGCGUAGAUAUUAGAAAGAACACCAGUGGCGAAAGCGCUCUACUGGACCAUUACUGACACUCAGAGGCGAAAGCCAGGGGAGCGAAAGGGAUUAGAUACCCCUGUAGUCCUGGCCGUAAACGAUGAACACUAGGUGUCGGGGGAUCGCCCCGGUGUCGUAGCUAACGCGUUAAGUGUUCCGCCUGGGGAGUACGCACGCAAGUGUG